Phalacrocorax carbo (great cormorant) is the source of this 696-nucleotide non-coding RNA. Lineage: Eukaryota; Metazoa; Chordata; Aves; Suliformes; Phalacrocoracidae. The record is from RefSeq and is a predicted model, not a curated record.
ACCAGGAGGCUCACAAAGCCCAGCAAGUAGAAGUGCCAGUGGUGCCUGGUGCACAGGGGUAAGGGAAGGAUAACCCUGAGCAGUGGUCCAGGCUGGGAAGUGACUGGUGGAGUUGCUGGAUGGGACUCAGAGGUAACUGCACAUGAACUUGAGCACAGGCCAAAAGUAAUUCUGACUGUGAACAAUGCAAACAGCUUAAUGGGCUGUACGAGGAGAACAGCCAGCCCAGCGGAGGGGUGUUGGAGGCUCUUGUGUUUCUGUGAGUCCAAAAAGUUCUUCCAAGAUAAUGCAUUAUAAUAAGGAGAAACGAGUGAUGAUGCUGGCAAAGUGCAAGAAAAAUUCCUUCACGAACCUUCGCAGACCUGCCAAGAUCACAGGUUGUCAAACCGGUGGAAUCCCAAGUGUUUCAGCAGGAAGACCAAAGUGGGCAGGCAUGCUGGCAGAAGGUGGCAGGCAAGAUGUUUUGCUGUGUGUUAGGCACUGGAGUGAACACUAUACAGCUUGAUGGCAUGGCCCAGAGUUUCCUGGAUGUUACUUGAAAGAGGAUAAUCACUUACUCAUGUGCAACCAGCAACCACAUGGAAGCUGCUCACAAAAGAAGCCACAGCCUUUGCUAACAAAGGAACUCCUUUCUGUUUUAUUUUUCCAACCAAAAUUCCCAAAACAAAGUAAUUAAAUUUCUCCCUUUGUUCUGGC